This 767-nucleotide ribosomal RNA is filed under the name Acinetobacter sp. S2(2005). RNAcentral's name for it is "bacterial SSU rRNA". It matches the Rfam family "Bacterial small subunit ribosomal RNA", at positions 563 to 1331 of the family's 1533-position model. The record is from RNAcentral. Lineage: Bacteria; Pseudomonadati; Pseudomonadota; Gammaproteobacteria; Moraxellales; Moraxellaceae.
AGGCGUGGCGUAGGCGGCUUCUUAAGUCGGAUGUGAAAUCCUGAGCUUAACUUAGGAAUGCAUUCGAUACUGGAAGCUAGAGUAUGGGAGAGGAUGGUAGAAUACCAGGUGUAGCGGUGAAAUGCGUAGAGAUCUGGAGGAAUACCGAUGGCGAAGGCAGCCAUCUGGCCUAAUACUGACGCUGAGGUACGAAAGCAUGGGGAGCAAACAGGAUUAGAUACCCUGGUAGUCCAUGCCGUAAACGAUGUCUACUAGCCGUUGGGGCCUUUGAGGCUUUAGUGGCGCAGCUAACGCGAUAAGUAGACCGCCUGGGGAGUACGGUCGCAAGACUAAAACUCAAAUGAAUUGACGGGGGCCCGCACAAGCGGUGGAGCAUGUGGUUUAAUUCGAUGCAACGCGAAGAACCUUACCUGGUCUUGACAUAGUAAGAACUUUCCAGAGAUGGAUUGGUGCCUUCGGGAACUUACAUACAGGUGCUGCAUGGCUGUCGUCAGCUCGUGUCGUGAGAUGUUGGGUUAAGUCCCGCAACGAGCGCAACCCUUUUCCUUAUUUGCCAGCGGGUUAAGCCGGGAACUUUAAGGAUACUGCCAGUGACAAACUGGAGGAAGGCGGGGACGACGUCAAGUCAUCAUGGCCCUUACGACCAGGGCUACACACGUGCUACAAUGGUCGGUACAAAGGGUUGCUACCUAGCGAUAGGAUGCUAAUCUCAAAAAGCCGAUCGUAGUCCGGAUUGGAGUCUGCAACUCUACUUCAUGAAGACGGAA